UCUCUUCUUCUUCCUCUUCUU
Molecule: small RNA, 21 nt
Filed under: Arabidopsis thaliana (thale cress)
Lineage: Eukaryota; Viridiplantae; Streptophyta; Magnoliopsida; Brassicales; Brassicaceae
Description: ATSL117950
Source: RNAcentral